GGUUUCAUAGUGUAGCGGCUGGUACGUCUGCUUUAUAUGCAGAAGAUCCUGGGUUCACGCCCCAGUGGAGCCG
This 73-nucleotide transfer RNA is filed under the name Pteropus alecto (black flying fox). It matches the Rfam family "tRNA". From Rfam's summary of the family: Transfer RNA (tRNA) molecules are approximately 80 nucleotides in length. Their secondary structure includes four short double-helical elements and three loops (D, anti-codon, and T loops). The record is from Rfam by way of RNAcentral. Lineage: Eukaryota; Metazoa; Chordata; Mammalia; Chiroptera; Pteropodidae.